UACAGGGGGUGCGAGCGUUAAUCGGAAUUACUGGGCGUAAAGCGUGCGUAGACGGUUAUUUAAGUCGGGUGUGAAAGCCCCGGGCUCAACCUGGGAAUUGCAUUCGAGACUGAAUAGCUAGGGUACGGUAGAGGGAAGUGGAAUUUCCGGUGUAGCGGUGAAAUGCGUAGAUAUCGGAAGGAACAUCAGUGGCGAAAGCGGCUUCCUGGACCAGUACCGACGUUCAGGCACGAAAGCGUGGGGAGCAAACAGG
Molecule: ribosomal RNA, 253 nt
Filed under: uncultured bacterium
Lineage: Bacteria
Description: partial 16S ribosomal RNA
Rfam family: Bacterial small subunit ribosomal RNA
Source: RNAcentral